UAGGGAAUCUUCGGCAAUGGACGGAAGUCUGACCGAGCAACGCCGCGUGAGUGAAGAAGGUUUUCGGAUCGUAAAGCUCUGUUGUUAGAGAAGAACGUUGGUAGGAGUGGAAAAUCUACCAAGUGACGGUAACUAACCAGAAAGGGACGGCUAACUACGUGCCAGCAGCCGCGGUAAUACGUAGGUCCCGAGCGUUGUCCGGAUUUAUUGGGCGUAAAGCGAGCGCAGGCGGUUCUUUAAGUCUGAAGUUAAAGGCAGUGGCUUAACCAUUGUACUCUUUGGAAACUGGAGGACUUGAGUGCAGAAGGGGAGAGUGGAAUUCCAUGUGUAGCGGUAAAGUGCGUAGAUAUAUGGAGGAACACCGGUGGCGAAAGCUGCUCUCUGGUCUGUAACUGACGCUGAGGCUCGAAAGCGUGGGGAGCAAACAGG
RNAcentral lists this ribosomal RNA (429 nucleotides) under Bacillota bacterium. RNAcentral describes it as "Firmicutes bacterium partial 16S ribosomal RNA". It matches the Rfam family "Bacterial small subunit ribosomal RNA", at positions 355 to 776 of the family's 1533-position model. Lineage: Bacteria; Bacillati; Bacillota. The record is from RNAcentral.